CACCUCUUGAUAAGAGGCCCAGCCUGCCCAGUGAUAUUCAACGGCCGCGGUAUCCUAACCGUGCAAAGGUAGCGUAAUCACUUGUCUUCUAAAUAAAGACUAGUAUGAAAGGCACCACGAGGAUUAAACUGUCUCCUUUUUCUAAUCAGUGAACCUAACCCCCCCGUGAAGAAGCGGGGAUAAAUCUAUAAGACGAGAAGACCCUAUGGAGCUUAAAACAGUAUUACACGUGCACGCUGAUUACAUGUUUUUGGUUGGGGUGACCGCGGAGAAUAAACUAACCUCCACGAUGAAAAAUAACAAGUCACAACUUUACCCAUCAAUAAAUUGACACACAUUGACCCAAAUAUUUUGAUCAACGAACCAAGUUACCCUAGGGAUAACAGCGCAAUCCACUUUAAGAGCCCCUAUCGACAAGUGGGCUUACGACCUCGAUGUUGGAUCAGGGUAUCCCAGUGGUGCAGCCGCUACUAAAGGUUCGUUUGUUCAACGAUUAAAACCCU
This 503-nucleotide ribosomal RNA is filed under the name Pristimantis aff. taeniatus 2 AJC-2011. RNAcentral's name for it is "partial 16S ribosomal RNA". It matches the Rfam family "Bacterial large subunit ribosomal RNA", at positions 1835 to 2597 of the family's 2925-position model. The record is from RNAcentral. Lineage: Eukaryota; Metazoa; Chordata; Amphibia; Anura; Strabomantidae.